UCUUUUUAAAUGAUGAAGCCAUUUCGGAUGUAAAGUAGUCCAAAGGACUCGAAGUCCGAGAGCGCAAAAUCGUGUGGAUUUCUCCGUUGCCUUCCUUCUGAUCACCAUC
RNAcentral lists this small nucleolar RNA (109 nucleotides) under Galerina marginata CBS 339.88. RNAcentral describes it as "Small nucleolar RNA Z13/snr52". It matches the Rfam family "Small nucleolar RNA Z13/snr52". From Rfam's summary of the family: Z13 or snr52 is a member of the C/D class of snoRNA which contain the C (UGAUGA) and D (CUGA) box motifs. Most of the members of the box C/D family function in directing site-specific 2'-O-methylation of substrate RNAs. Lineage: Eukaryota; Fungi; Basidiomycota; Agaricomycetes; Agaricales; Galerinaceae. The record is from Rfam by way of RNAcentral.